RNAcentral lists this ribosomal RNA (1257 nucleotides) under Triticum aestivum (bread wheat). Its description in RNAcentral is "partial small subunit ribosomal RNA". Lineage: Eukaryota; Viridiplantae; Streptophyta; Magnoliopsida; Poales; Poaceae. The record is from RNAcentral.
AUGGACACGGGCGAGAUCUUCAACCCAGGCUGCGGCGGGCCGGGCGGCGCCGGCUGCGACUGCGAGGACCGCGAGGAGUGGGGGCGCUACUGCUACUGGAAUCACGACCACGGCGACGGCCGCCCCAUGCAGUUCCUCCUCUUCGCCUCCGACGACAAAGAUCAACUGUGCAUACCAUGGGAGGUCUCAAGCAAGCUGAGAGAUAUGAUCCCCGACUCCGAGCCUAUCAAACUUGAAACUCCUGAUGGUCGCACGUACAGUGUUAAAUUCGUCAAGUUCGGCCAGAUAACUCUUACGACCGGGUGGCGGGGAUUUGUGGAUGCAAAUCACAUAGAGGAGAACAACCCCAUGUUGUUUGUGUACCGUGGGAAUUCAACCUUUAAUGUUCACAUAUUCAAUUCGUCCGGCCACGACAAGUCCUUGCCCUGCUCUCGACCACCUUGUGAUCAUCAUGUGCUGAAUGAACAAGUGGUGCCUCAUCCUGGACAUGUUGAUAGCUCAGCCCACUUUGGCUAUACCAUGUUGCCCGGAAGCUCUGUAACCAAGGCACAAGAUGAUAAACUGCUAGAAUGGGCUCAUACCAUCAAGUCUGGAUUUCCUCUUUUUGUGGCAGCCAUGGACGAGAGCAAUGUCAGCUUGAACGACUGCCAUGUUUACAUACCACGGUGUCUUGUGGGACAGUUCAAAGAGGAGGUGGUCAAGAUUGUAGCCCCUGACGGGAGUGAAUACGGUGUUGGCGCAAAGAAGCACAAUGAUGAUCAAAUCGUACUCCAAUCUGGGUGGGACAAGUUUGUGGCUUCUCAGUGCAUACAACAGAAUGACUUGCUCAUUUUCAUAAUUGAGGGGGAAGCUCGCCUCAAAGUUCUUGUCCUUGACCCAAGCGGUAGUGAGAAAACUUUUGACAUGGGAAACUCUUCCAAUGCCCAAGAAAAGCAACCACUCCCACCUACUGUUACUAACCUGAGUUCUGAGGACAAUGAAGUUACUGACCUGAGUUCUGCUUAUGAUGAAGUCGUGGGAAAAGACACUACAACAUCAAGGAGGGAGCAGAGGCCGCUACGAAGCUGUCGUGUAGAAGCUGAGAAGAUGGGUUCAACAUCCUGCCCUUCUACUAAAUCAGGACACAAAGCUGGCAACUCGAAUGAAGCCGGCAUAGAAGCUCCUAUGCCCAACAAGUCCUACAUAGUGCCUAAAUCUGGACGCUCAGCUCGAGCUUUUGGGCUCGGCUCGCGCUCGCUGCAACUCGGCCCGAGCUAG